CAGCAGCCGCGGUAAUACGUAAGGUGCGAACGUUGUUCGGAAUCACUGGGCAUAAAGAGCACGUAGGCGGCUGGAUAAGUCCGAUGUGAAAUCCCCCGGCUCAACCGAGGAAUUGCAUCGGAUACUGUCUGGCUAGAGUGCAGUAGGGGAGAGCGGAAUUCCAGGUGGAGCGGUGAAAUGCGUAGAUAUCUGGAGGAACACCGGUGGCGAAAGCGGCUCUCUGGACUGUAACUGACGCUGAGGUGCGAAAGCCAGGGGAGCAAACGGGAUUAGAUACCCCGGUAGUCCUGGCCCUAAACGAUGGGCACUAGGUGGAGGAGGUUCCGAUAUCUUCUCUGCUGUAGCAAAUGUGUUAAGUGCCCCGCCUGGGGAGUAUGGUCGCAAGGCUGAAACUCAAAGGAAUUGACGG
RNAcentral lists this ribosomal RNA (409 nucleotides) under uncultured bacterium. Its description in RNAcentral is "bacterial SSU rRNA". It matches the Rfam family "Bacterial small subunit ribosomal RNA", at positions 509 to 916 of the family's 1533-position model. The record is from RNAcentral.